Molecule: transfer RNA, 66 nt
Filed under: Chionea crassipes gracilistyla
Lineage: Eukaryota; Metazoa; Arthropoda; Insecta; Diptera; Limoniidae
Description: tRNA-Leu
Source: RNAcentral
UCUAAUAUGGCAGAUUAGUGCCAUGGAUUUAAGCUCCAUAAAUAAAGAUUUUCUUUUGUUAGAAAA